UUAAGCGACUAAGCGUACACGGUGGAUGCCCUGGCAGUCAGAGGCGAUGAAGGACGUGCUAAUCUGCGAAAAGCGUCGGUAAGGUGAUAUGAACCGUUAUAACCGGCGAUGUCCGAAUGGGGAAACCCAGUGCAAUUCGUUGCACUAUCGUUAACUGAAUACAUAGGUUAACGAGGCGAACCGGGGGAACUGAAACAUCUAAGUACCCCGAGGAAAAGAAAUCAACCGAGAUUCCCCCAGUAGCGGCGAGCGAACGGGGAGCAGCCCAGAGUCUGAAUCAGCUUGUGUGUUAGUGGAACGGUCUGGAAAGUCCGACGGUACAGGGUGAUAGUCCCGUACACCAAAAUGCACAGGUUGUGAACUCGAAGAGUAGGGCGGGACACGUGGUAUCCUGUCUGAAUAUGGGGGGACCAUCCUCCAAGGCUAAAUACUCCUGACUGACCGAUAGUGAACCAGUACCGUGAGGGAAAGGCGAAAAGAACCCCGGCGAGGGGAGUGAAAAAGAACCUGAAACCGUGUACGUACAAGCAGUGGGAGCACCUUCGGGUGUGACUGCGUACCUUUUGUAUAAUGGGUCAGCGACUUAUAUUCUGUAGCAAGGUUAACCGUAUAGGGGAGCCGCAGGGAAACCGAGUCUUAACUGGGCGUUAAGUUGCAGGGUAUAGACCCGAAACCCGGUGAUCUAGCCAUGGGCAGGUUGAAGGUUGGGUAACACUAACUGGAGGACCGAACCGACUAAUGUUGAAAAAUUAGCGGAUGACUUGUGGCUGGGGGUGAAAGGCCAAUCAAACCGGGAGAUAGCUGGUUCUCCCCGAAAGCUAUUUAGGUAGCGCCUCGUGAAUUCAUCUUCGGGGGUAGAGCACUGUUUCGGCUAGGGGGUCAUCCCGACUUACCAACCCGAUGCAAACUACGAAUACCGAAGAAUGUUAUCACGGGAGACACACGGCGGGUGCUAACGUCCGUCGUGAAGAGGGAAACAACCCAGACCGCCAGCUAAGGUCCCAAAGUCAUGGUUAAGUGGGAAACGAUGUGGGAAGGCACAGACAGCCAGGAUGUUGGCUUAGAAGCAGCCAUCAUUUAAAGAAAGCGUAAUAGCUCACUGGUCGAGUCGGCCUGCGCGGAAGAUGUAACGGGGCUAAACCAUGCACCGAAGCUGCGGCAGCGACACUAUGUGUUGUUGGGUAGGGGAGCGUUCUGUAAGCCUGCGAAGGUGNUGCUGGAGGUAUCAGAAGUGCGAAUGCUGACAUAAGUAACGAUAAAGCGGGUGAAAAGCCCGCUCGCCGGAAGACCAAGGGUUCCUGUCCAACGUUAAUCGGGGCAGGGUGAGUCGACCCCUAAGGCGAGGCCGAAAGGCGUAGUCGAUGGGAAACAGGUUAAUAUUCCUGUACUUGGUGUUACUGCGAAGGGGGGACGGAGAAGGCUAUGUUAGCCGGGCGACGGUUGUCCCGGUUUAAGCAUGUAGGCUGAUUGUCCAGGCAAAUCCGGAUAAUCAAGGCUGAGGUGUGAUGACGAGGCACUACGGUGCUGAAGUAACAAAUGCCCUGCUUCCAGGAAAAGCCUCUAAGCAUCAGGUAACAUCAAAUCGUACCCCAAACCGACACAGGUGGUCAGGUAGAGAAUACCAAGGCGCUUGAGAGAACUCGGGUGAAGGAACUAGGCAAAAUGGUGCCGUAACUUCGGGAGAAGGCACGCUGGUGUGUAGGUGAAGCCCCUGCGGGUGGAGCUGAGACCAGUCGAAGAUACCAGCUGGCUGCAACUGUUUAUUAAAAACACAGCACUGUGCAAACACGAAAGUGGACGUAUACGGUGUGACGCCUGCCCGGUGCCGGAAGGUUAAUUGAUGGGGUUAUCCGUAAGGAGAAGCUCUUGAUCGAAGCCCCGGUAAACGGCGGCCGUAACUAUAACGGUCCUAAGGUAGCGAAAUUCCUUGUCGGGUAAGUUCCGACCUGCACGAAUGGCGUAAUGAUGGCCAGGCUGUCUCCACCCGAGACUCAGUGAAAUUGAACUCGCUGUGAAGAUGCAGUGUACCCGCGGCAAGACGGAAAGACCCCGUGAACCUUUACUAUAGCUUGACACUGAACAUUGAGCCUUGAUGUGUAGGAUAGGUGGGAGGCUUUGAAGCGUGGACGCCAGUCUGCGUGGAGCCAACCUUGAAAUACCACCCUUUAAUGUUUGAUGUUCUAACGUUGGCCCCUGACCGGGGUUGCGGACAGUGUCUGGUGGGUAGUUUGACUGGGGCGGUCUCCUCCCAAAGCGUAACGGAGGAGCACGAAGGUUAGCUAAUCCUGGUCGGACAUCAGGAGGUUAGUGCAAUGGCAUAAGCUAGCUUGACUGCGAGCGUGACGGCGCGAGCAGGUGCGAAAGCAGGUCAUAGUGAUCCGGUGGUUCUGAAUGGAAGGGCCAUCGCUCAACGGAUAAAAGGUACUCCGGGGAUAACAGGCUGAUACCGCCCAAGAGUUCAUAUCGACGGCGGUGUUUGGCACCUCGAUGUCGGCUCAUCACAUCCUGGGGCUGAAGUAGGUCCCAAGGGUAUGGCUGUUCGCCAUUUAAAGUGGUACGCGAGCUGGGUUUAGAACGUCGUGAGACAGUUCGGUCCCUAUCUGCCGUGGGCGCUGGAGAAUUGAGGGGGGCUGCUCCUAGUACGAGAGGACCGGAGUGGACGCAUCACUGGUGUUCGGGUUGUCAUGCCAAUGGCACUGCCCGGUAGCUAAAUGCGGAAGAGAUAAGUGCUGAAAGCAUCUAAGCACGAAACUUGCCCCGAGAUGAGUUCUCCCUGAGACUUUAAGUCUCCUGAAGGAACGUUGAAGACGACGACGUUGAUAGGCCGGGUGUGUAAGCGCAGCGAUGCGUUGAGCUAACCGGUACUAAUGAACCGUGAGGCUUAACCUU
This 2889-nucleotide ribosomal RNA is filed under the name Klebsiella pneumoniae. Its description in RNAcentral is "23S ribosomal RNA". It matches the Rfam family "Bacterial large subunit ribosomal RNA". The record is from RNAcentral. Lineage: Bacteria; Pseudomonadati; Pseudomonadota; Gammaproteobacteria; Enterobacterales; Enterobacteriaceae.